AAUAUAUGUCAGAAUCUACUGGAAGAAUACAUCUAUUUAAAUCCUCUCUUGCAGGUGCCAUGGAUUUCUGUAGCCUAAAUAUCCUGAAAACUGUCCAACACUUGUCCUUCUCACACUUGACAGCAAGGACUCUUUCUGCUUUUCCUCCAGGCCUGGUGGCCAUGUCACAUGGGGCUCAAGCUUUCUGGCAUUUCAAGCAGAAGUGGAAGAAGUUUAAUGGACAAUGAUUGCUGUCAAGCCCUGCAGGGACAGGUUUCAAGUGGCAGCUAUGUGGGAUAAAUGCAGCAUGUGGAAUACAGGGCCUGAGGGAUGCUCAGCACCCAGCAUUACAGGAUUCUGCCUUUUUCUUGUCUUUGUUUCAAAGGAGCCUGUCCAAAUGGUCAAAGAGCACUCCCAGGAGCUCCUUCAGGGGUUUAUUUUUGAAGAACACUUUCUCAUUUGCUUUGACACGAGACAUGCAAAGGUGUGGUGCAUGUGGGACACCUGAUGAUGACUCCAGUGAAUGUUGCUGCUGCUCAGUCAACAUCAUAAGGAAGAAUAUCAACUCUCUGGUGUCUGUGGGUAGUUUUCUUCUCAUUCUUCACCUGAAAAGAAGACAACUGUUUCCUUAUCCCAGAGGGGUCUCUAACUUAAGGGUUGGAUUUGAUGGCCCACAGGGAUCAGCUAAAUGUGACUAUCCUUCAUUUACAGAUGUGUGACAUCUGUGUCUGAGCUGCUAUCACAGGGCAGUUCGUGCAGAAACUUCUCAGAAAAUUUCUGGUUUGUAUGGUCAUGUACCAUGGUCAUGUGAGGUGAUCCAAGGUAACUGGCUUUCUGGGAGACAAUGCCAUCCUUGUAAAAGGUCUGUAGCAGAAGAAAAUGUGGUUUUUUUUACAUUGCUUCAAAUAUGAUAUGCGGUUUUUACACUGUGAAUAACAUCCUUUAAUAUCUAUAUUUGGCUUAGCAACUACAAUAAAUCUGACUCUGGAACAUAAGCCUAGAGACCG
Molecule: long non-coding RNA, 986 nt
Filed under: Cyanistes caeruleus (blue tit)
Lineage: Eukaryota; Metazoa; Chordata; Aves; Passeriformes; Paridae
Description: lncRNA (ENSCCEG00000008663.1)
Source: RNAcentral